This 253-nucleotide ribosomal RNA is filed under the name uncultured bacterium. Its description in RNAcentral is "partial 16S ribosomal RNA". It matches the Rfam family "Bacterial small subunit ribosomal RNA", at positions 524 to 776 of the family's 1533-position model. The record is from RNAcentral.
UACAGAGGGGGCAAGCGUUAUUCGGAAUUAUUGGGCGUAAAGGGCGUGUAGGCGGCCCGCUAAGUCUGAUGUGAAAGCCCGGGGCUCACCCCCGGAAGUGCAUUGGAAACUGGCGGACUCGAGUCCCGGAGAGGAGAGUGGAAUUCCUGGUGUAGCGGUGAAAUGCGUAGAUAUCAGGAGGAACACCGGUGGCGAAGGCGGCUCUCUGGACGGUGACUGACGCUGAGACGCGAAAGCGUGGGGAGCGAACAGG